AAAAAAAAAAAAAAAAAAAAAAAAAAAAAAAAAAAUUUUGCAAGUCACCUAUUGUUAGUUGGUUCAGAGGUAUCUGGCACUGAACUUGGUAGGGCGGAUUACGAUCGCGAUCCCCCGCAGCUACAUUUUGGCGAAAUAAAACAGGUUCACACAUGCUUAUGUGCCAGAAACCUUAUGUUAUGGAUCAGAAUCACUAACCGGUCAC
RNAcentral lists this long non-coding RNA (205 nucleotides) under Lathyrus oleraceus (garden pea). Its description in RNAcentral is "Pisum sativum (pea) long non-coding RNA (PSAT_LNC001036)". Lineage: Eukaryota; Viridiplantae; Streptophyta; Magnoliopsida; Fabales; Fabaceae. The record is from RNAcentral.